UGAGGAGACAAUCUUGAUAGGAAGUUUGAACUUUGAAAUAAUAUUUUAUUCUACCACCCAUCUAAAGGCUAAUUAAUCACAAAUGUUAAACCAAUCAGAAGAAAAUGUUUGUUAAACCAGAAAAGGCUGUUACCUCUCACAGACAAGUUUCUUUCUUUAGGUCAACAUAUCUGGUGUAGCUGUCAGGAUUCAGAGCAACCUCCUCACACCCUGGACCACCUAGUGAUCCCUCCUGGACUCAGCACUCAGCACCAGCACAAACCUACUGUGUUUCUCUGUCUCCACAUCUUUCCCUGAGUACAAAAGGUAGCCCUGCGUGAGUAGGCAUCUUCCAUCAUCAGAGAUCUCCAACUGAAGCUGACCUGCAGCCAGUCACCUGGUUCUUCAGACCAGGACAAGAAAUUGAAACUCAGUUUAAAAAGAUCACUCAAAAGGCUAAAUGGCUACAAGAUGACCCAUGGUUGGAAAGACAGACCCCUUAUAUGAUUUAUUUGACUGGUUACCUUCAGGUAUUGGAAUAUUUCUCACAUUUGGAUUUCAAAUUGUUUAAUUAGUAAUUGUCCUUAUUUGUGUCAUAUUUUUGAUUCUUAAAUCAAUUAUGCUUUGCAUUUCUCUAUCUAAAGUGUUUGUUGACAGAAACUAAACUCAUGAUAGCUAGAUGCAUAGAAAUUAUUCAACACGCCAUACUUCCUUUGUAAGUGGAUGAAAUCCUGAGACCCAAUUCCUCUGCCCCUUUGUGUUGCCAGUUAAUUUAGCCUAAGACUUCACUAAAUUCUUAAGCUGUAGUGCCUCUCCUCUUUCCCUCCAAUGUAGAGAGAGAUUACCCGGGAAUGAGCCUUCCUAGCAAUAUGGGGAAAAGCUACGUUUAAAAUGUUGAUUAUCAAUGCUUUCAGAAGAGGAAGAUCUCAAUCAAAAAGGGGAAAUGAGAAGAAAAGUAGCUCAGAGAUGUCUGAGCUAUGUGAGGUAUGCAAAAUGUAUCAGAUCCAGAGAGACAUGAGUAUUGAAAGCCAACUUGUAACUACUGCUAAUCAAAGCAUAUAUUCAUGGCAACUUGAAUCUGUGUCUCCUUGGUUGCAGUCCCCAAAUUUGGCCCAAAUAAAUUCUCGACUUAUGUUAA
Homo sapiens (human) is the source of this 1117-nucleotide long non-coding RNA. Ensembl annotates it as CHODL antisense RNA 1. Its record names the gene CHODL-AS1. The record is from Ensembl. NCBI's taxonomy places the organism in Eukaryota, Metazoa, Chordata, Mammalia, Primates, Hominidae.